Molecule: long non-coding RNA, 269 nt
Organism: Mizuhopecten yessoensis (Yesso scallop)
Lineage: Eukaryota; Metazoa; Mollusca; Bivalvia; Pectinida; Pectinidae
Exons: 3
Source: RefSeq, a predicted model, not a curated record
GACUUGAAGUAGAAGAGGUUAACGAAAUACGUGGUGUCAUGAGUUUAGCCUGUCUGGUCUGUCUGCGCAGGCGCCUGUAUCUACUUCCGCUCAUCACGACAUUAUGGAUUAUCAUGUCACUUUUCAUAUCAUAUGGAAUAGCAGUGAGCUAUGGCCAUACGGAGCCAGACUUCCCUUAUAUAAGUCACACAGCCAUUGAAGCACCAGAACGAUGUGUCUUCGGUCAGCUGGUCAAUAUAGGAGCCGUCAUGCGUGAGUAAACACCUUUA